AUACGGAGGGUCAAAGCGUUAUCCGGAUUCAUUGGGUUUAAAGGGUCCGCAGGCGGGAAAAUAAGUCAGUGGUGAAAGCCUACAGCUCAACUGUAGAACUGCCAUUGAAACUGUUUUUCUUGAGUAUAGAUGAAGUGGGCGGAAUAUAUCAUGUAGCGGUGAAAUGCAUAGAUAUGAUAUAGAACACCGAUUGCGAAGGCAGCUCACUAAACUAUUACUGACGCUCAGGGACGAAAGCGUGGGGAGCGAACAGGAUUAGAAACCCUAGUAGUCC
This 274-nucleotide ribosomal RNA is filed under the name uncultured bacterium. Its description in RNAcentral is "partial 16S ribosomal RNA". It matches the Rfam family "Bacterial small subunit ribosomal RNA", at positions 523 to 796 of the family's 1533-position model. The record is from RNAcentral.